RNAcentral lists this small nuclear RNA (132 nucleotides) under Sus scrofa (pig). Its description in RNAcentral is "7SK RNA". It matches the Rfam family "7SK RNA", at positions 172 to 331 of the family's 331-position model. From Rfam's summary of the family: 7SK was discovered as an abundant small nuclear RNA in the mid-70s but a possible function has only recently been suggested. Lineage: Eukaryota; Metazoa; Chordata; Mammalia; Artiodactyla; Suidae. The record is from Rfam by way of RNAcentral.
ACCAUUCUUAAGUCACUGGUAUAUGAGUAUUUGUGCUCCUCUGGUAGAAAUUCCAAACAAAUUCUCAAGUCCAUUCGUAGGAGAAUAUAGGGUGGUCAAGCUUCCAAGACUCCAGGCAUAUUGGCAGUCUGC